GCGGUGGCCCAUGGCCGGGACCCUCCAAGGAGGACAGGGCCAGGUGCGCCCUCCAGGAACAGGGACCAUUAUCAACCAAGAACUGUUGCUUCUGACCUCUGAUCCAGACCUUGACUCAGGUGAUGGCUGUUGGAGAUGAGGGUUGGAUAGCACCCCAAGUAGUGAUUUUCUUCAUGCCUAAGGGCCUGAAAUGAGGAUUUCAUGAAAGUGAUGCUUCAUUACGUACCGUGCUCUUCUUUUGAUACCGACAAGCCAAGCACAGGUUAGAAUGUUGAUGAAAUUCUUUUAUGAAAUAACGAUGGUGGUAGAGGUUCAAUGAGCCCUAACUUGAAAGGAUAAUAGGGAUAGAAAAGUAGGUGAAGGCAAAGAUCUGAGUGAUUUGACAGGUAAAGACAUCAACAGCCUUCCAAGCCAGAGAGAGAAGCUGGCACCACCAGCAGGAGAGCACAGUGCACAGUGUUAUCAACCAGCUUUGAGAUCCUGAAAGGGGAAAAUGGACAAGUUGGGUUAUCACCGGUGAAUUCUCAAGUGUUGUGCAGAAUCCCCUACAACCUCAAAUGAUGAACUGAAUCAGAAGAGAAUCAAUAGGGAUGAUGAUGCUGUGAUGCACUUGUAGCAUGUAUCUAACAUUUCUAUAGCACUUUAAGGUUUGCAAAGUACUUUACAAAUCCCCAUUCUCCAGAUGAGAUAACUGAGGCAGGCCGUGGUCAAGUGACUUGCCCAAGUUCACAUAGCUAGUAAUUCUCUGGGGUAAUCUCAGUGACUCCAAGUCCGUGAUAAUUAUAAAUUUCUUUUGUUCAGUCAUCUUUCAGUCAUGCCUGAUUAGCUGCCACCCACCCCAUUUGGGGGUUUUCUUGGCAGAGAUACCGGAAUGGUUUGCCAUUUCCUUUCUCAUACGUCAGUAAAAUUCUAGAGACAAUUGACCGGGAGACUGAGGGAACUGGACUUGACCCCAUUUUAGGACAAACUGAAGGAAUGAGGGAAAUUUACCCUGGAAGAUGGCAGGCUUAGGGAGACAAGACAGCCCCUAGAAUUUAGGGACAGUUUUCACAUGGAGAAGGCAUCAAACUUUUUGUUGGCCACAGAGGGCAGUGUUGGGGAAAACGGGUACGAUUUGAAGGGAGGGAGAAAAGAGAAAG
RNAcentral lists this long non-coding RNA (1139 nucleotides) under Vombatus ursinus (common wombat). RNAcentral's name for it is "lncRNA (ENSVURG00010002964.1)". Lineage: Eukaryota; Metazoa; Chordata; Mammalia; Diprotodontia; Vombatidae. The record is from RNAcentral.